AUGACACACUGCUUGGCAACCAUGUUAUCUGGGUUGAAAGAGUAUGUAGAUGCUAGAAGCAGUCACCUGAGCAGUAUUGGAGAUACAAUCAGCGGUGUUCAUUACAAACUUGUCGUCUUGUUCCAUAAAUGUCAAGUGAUUAAAGGGGUCAGGAGGCAGAGACAGAAGGACUCACUGAAAUAUAUGGUCCGUGACAACCUCAGGAGAAGAUCAACAAUCCACGUCAUCACACACUUUCAACUGCAAGGGGUUUUCAGAGAUUUCAUGGAAGAUGUGCACCACGAAAAAUAUAUGUAUAUAUUGCCAAAUAUUUGCACCAAAAGUAGACUUACCUUUUAAUUUCACUUGUCCAAGAGUGUUUUGAAAUUCCUCACACAUUAUACAUCGUUGGCACAAUGGCCUUGUGAGUCAGAUAGAUAUUGUAACAGUGUUGAAGAACAGGAACUGAGAUUCUCACAGAUUAGAAACUUACUUAAAUUCACUCUGGAAAUAAGUGGCAGCCAUUCUAAAUCCAGAUCCAGCGUGUUCUUCACAAAGUAUCAUCCAGCUUCUUCUCCAAGCAGGUACUAAGCGCUUUCUUCGUUGGUUUGCAGCUGUGUCCAUGUAACAGAAAGCUGACUCGUCCAUCCACCAGCGUCUGCAGGCUCAGUGCUGUCAAGCCUUGGGCAUGCGGAUUUUCAGUGACUAAUAUUGUCUCUCGCCGGACUUCAUAAAUAUUGUAACAUUUAAUAUACAGAAUGCAAACAGAGAGUUAGAGGUAGGAGACAUGCUUUGGUUAAAAUAAUAUUAACUAGAGUAGAAAGUGUAACUUUGAUCCAGUUUUAUAGGGAGACACAUAGAUGCUUUGGAAAUAGAAAAAUGAAAAUACUCUGUCAGAGUAUCGUUAGCACAGUCGCAUGCACAUAUUCGUAAAUUAACAAAUUUUUUAGUUACGUCUGGUGGGUAAACUUUAAAGAGCUGAAAUGCAUUUUCCACAUUCUACAACUAAGCAAUGGCUUGUUUGUCUUGGAAACCAGAUAUACAGAGACAGACCCUAGAAAGGAAUCCAGGCUCAAACGCAAUGGGAACACAGCUAACACCUUAGCAGUCUCCUUUCGGGUUUAUCGUGCAUUAUGCUUACCAUGUGUUGACCGAGUAUUUGGGCUACCCCCAACGAUCACCACCUAAACUGUAAAAGAAAACAUUCCCAUUUGCUGCCAUUCAUGUCCACGGGCAGCACCCUUGCCAAAAGCACAUAAAAUGACAAACGUGGUGUUUGGGCCGCUGGGAGGCUGCUCGGGGUGGACGCUCAGUCAGUGUACUCGUCUCUGUUCUAGUGGGGUAGGGGUCCUACCAGGAAGCCCCCUUCUAUCGAAGGGCUCAGGAGCAGUCUCUGCUUCACUAGUGGUGGAGAUCCUAUGAGCAUGGUUAACCGCUUUUCUAGGAAACUAACUGAAUUCCUGGAGUGAGGAGAGAGGAAGGGAAGAGAGUGAGGAAGAGAAGAAGGGCCCUUAAAGCGCUAACCCCCGAGAGUGAAGAGGGGCUCUUCUCUGAGAAAUGCACACUGUCUCCUCCAUGGACUAAUGCACGCUCAGCAACCGUCAGCUGACAAGAGAUGCACCAGCUGGGUGGAGAGCAGUGAGAAGACCAGCACGCACACAGAACGCAGGGAAGUCCAGGGACCUGUGUGAGGCUGCUGAGUCAGUUUCUUCAUCCAACCAACACGGAGGCUAAGGAUAGCAAGACUGCUUGGUGAAAUGGCCUGCGAAAAAGAUGGGGCAACAGAACAAGCAAAACGAAACACCACCACUUUCAUUUCAAGAAAUUACAGAUUAGAAUGAAGAACGUGUCAGCAAACCACAAGGCUACAGUCACGACCGACUUCUACUUGGUACAAUGGUGAUGAGUGGGGGGAAACAAAAUAUGACAGUGAAAUUUCAAGGCCACGUGAUGAGAAGUGACCAGGCAAAGAGGGAGACUCGCUGCAGCGGGAGAUAAGGGAUGUAAUUUGCAGGUGUGUGGAGGGUGCCAGAGCAGUUACGGGUGCUAAGGGUGCGAUAAGAGGCAGAGGCAUAAAUAGGAGGAACCAACGAGGCAAAAUCAACACAAAAAAGCCAAGUUUAUGCUCAGUUUAAUUUCUACACAAUGCACCAUAUGGGAGAAAGCAUGUGUUCCUUUUGUUAUCCAGUGGUGAGGAGACAUGGAAUAAUAAACAAAAACACAGUUCUCA
RNAcentral lists this long non-coding RNA (2209 nucleotides) under Oryctolagus cuniculus (rabbit). RNAcentral's name for it is "lncRNA (ENSOCUG00000033839.1)". The record is from RNAcentral. Lineage: Eukaryota; Metazoa; Chordata; Mammalia; Lagomorpha; Leporidae.